AGUGCCUGAGACUAGUAACCUCAGGGAGAGGGAAGCGAGUUGCUGUACUUCCUCAUUCCCCAGAUCUCUCCUCCUUCCCUCCAGGGCUAUACGUCCUAUGUCUCUCAUGUGGGAUUGCAGCAACACACAGGCCCUGCAGGUACCAUGGUGCCCCCCAGCUACUCCAGCCAGCCUUAUCAGAGCACCCACCCUUCUACCAAUCCUACUCUUGUAGAUCCUACCCGUCACCUGCAACAGCGGCCCAGUGGCUAUGUGCAUCAGCAGGCCCCAACCUAUGGGCAUGGACUGACUUCCACUCAAAGGUACCCAAAGUAGUAGUGAACUGGCAAGGGAUACUGAGGUAUAAGCAGGUAUAAGCAAGCAUCUGAUUUGGGAAACCCUGUACUUGAAGGUGAUAAAUGGGCC
Molecule: long non-coding RNA, 405 nt
Filed under: Rattus norvegicus (Norway rat)
Lineage: Eukaryota; Metazoa; Chordata; Mammalia; Rodentia; Muridae
Description: long non-coding RNA NONRATT030580
Source: RNAcentral